Molecule: long non-coding RNA, 1972 nt
Organism: Aquila chrysaetos chrysaetos
Lineage: Eukaryota; Metazoa; Chordata; Aves; Accipitriformes; Accipitridae
Source: Ensembl
GGUAAAGCCGGGGCACCUGGAGCUGCCGGCCCCCCCCGGGGAGAAGGGAGACAGGGGUCCCCAGGGCCACCCAGGCAGCCGUGGACAGGACGGGGCACAGGUACGUUGCUGGGUCGGGCCCCCCCGGGCCGCAGCCCCCCGUGCCCCCCCCCUGCCAGGCCGUCUCCUUUCUGUGUUUCAGGGCGAGCCGGGCCCCAGGGGCGAGCCGGGCGAGAAGGGCACUUGGGGGGAGGGUUUGCACCAGCUCCGCGAGGCGCUGAAGAUUUUAGCGGAGAGGGUUUUAAUCUUGGAAACAAUGAUUGGGCUCUACGGUGAGUAGGGGGGGGGGCCAGCCUGGGCCACGGGCGGGGACGGGGACCCCCGGGGUGGCCCCCACUCCAUGGGGUGGCCCCCAUCCCCGCUGGCAGGUCACCAGGCCCCCAUGACGUCACGGCGGCCCUCGGCUCGCUGACGUCAUGGAGCUGCGGGGAGGGGUCCUUCGGCACCCCCUCCCCUCCGCCGCCUGGGCACCGGGGGGGGGGGGGGGGGGGGCGCAGGGGGUCAGCCUCGCCCCGGCUGCGGUGUGAUGUCAUCAGCCGUGCAUGACGUCACCACCCACACUGCGACAUCGUGGCCAGCACCGGGGACCGCUCAUAGGGCGAGGGUCGCCGGGGCCCCCCCUGCCUGCACCCAUGGCUGGGGCACCCCAGGAACACCCCCCCGCCCCCCGGGCACUGCCCGGGGUGCCCACCUCGAGCAGGGACACCCGUGACAGUCUCCGUCUUGGGGACAAGCCGGUGGCCCCCCGGGCAGGUUGGGGACAUGUCCGUCCCCCCCACCAUGUGUCCAGGGGCUCGACGUGCUGGGGGGGGGGGGGGGGCAGAGGGAGCACCCCGCUGGGACUUGCCUGGGCAGGGGACAGCCGUGUCCCCAUCAGGACACCGGUGGGGACAUCGAGGCAGCCGCGGCUGCUGUAGGGUCAGCGCAAGGGACCCCCGGCCCCCCCCCCCGGACCCACAGGGAUGGGGGACCCCCUCGCAUCCCCCUGGGGCCACCACGGGAGCCCCCGGCACCCCUCUGAAAGCGGGAGGAGCACCCUCCCGGGAGACCUGGCACCCCCCCCCCCCCCCCCCCCCCCCAUCGCACCGGCACCCCCUGCCCGCCAGGGCUGCACCCACGCUAUGCCACCCACGCCGUGCUACGCCGCCCGUGCCGUGCCGUGCCGUGCCGUGCCGUCCCCGCCGCGGCGGCGAACGCGCGCUCUGCUCUGCUCUCUCACUCUCCCCCAGGCCAGUAGCUUCCAAACCCUCCUGCGGCAGCAGGCCCGGCUGGAGGUCCUGGCUAGAAGGGUCACCUUGCUGGAAGCCAUCAUCUGGCCAGAACCAGAGCCCGGCUCAGGCAGCGGCCCCCCCCGGCACGGUGGCACCCGGACCCCCCCGCAGCAAGCGGGGUGGCAGCAACCAGCCCCCUUACCGCAUCGUGGCCCCCCACCGGCGCCCCCCCGGCAAGCAGUGACGGAUCCUGGAGUGGGGGGGGGGUCACCCGCUGUUACCCGCCCCCCCCCCAACCCUGCGCCCACCGCCGUGCCGGUACGGGCAGGAGCGUCGCCCUGGGGGAGGGGGGGCACGAUGGGGGUCACCCCCCCCCCCCCAGCCCCCUGGUCCCGCAGGGCACUUGGUGCUAGCCGGUAGCACGGCACCGGCCCCCCCCCCCUCUCUGCUUUGCCCCCCAUCGCUGCUGCUUGAACCCCCCCCCCCCGGGGGGCGUGGGGGGGCAAAAGGGUGUCAGGACCCCCCCCCUGCCCCUUUUCUGCCCCCACCCCAAUGUGCAGCUCUGGGGGUGCUUCAUUUCUUCCCCAGCCCGAGCCCCCGCGGCCACCCCUGCCCCGGGGAAGGGACCCCGGGGGGGGCCGGCGGUGGGGACCCCCCCCCCCCCAGCUUCGUCCCGCUGCUUUGGGACCCUCGAGGGUCAUUAAACGUCUCUUGAACCCGUG